GCGAGCGUAGUACAAUGGCAAAACAUCUCCUUGCCAAGGAGAAGAUAUGUGUUCGAUUCCCGCUGCUCGCU
This is a non-coding RNA of Triticum aestivum (bread wheat), 71 nucleotides long. Lineage: Eukaryota; Viridiplantae; Streptophyta; Magnoliopsida; Poales; Poaceae. The record is from Rfam.